UAUAUUAAAUCUAAGUAUAAAGAGCCUUAGAAAAGAUAGUACAUAGAGAGAGAGAGAGAGAGAGAGAGAGAGAGAGAGAAAGUGGAGUUAGAAUUUUUUUUUUUUUAGAGAGAGAAAGGUAGUUUAGAAAUAAUUAACUUAGUUGGAAAUAUAAAUCAAUUAGAAUUCAAAAUUAGGACCUCGGAUACCAACCCCAAAUCCUUCGCCACUUGCACUAGGGACGGUCGAUAGUUAAUUAGAAUGCCUUGAAGAGUAUUAAACCUUUUUUUUUUCUCUUUACUACGUACGUUGUUGUUUUGAUAGUGGGGCAUCUGAAUCGACAAAGUGAAUUUCAUUAUUUUCUAAAACUAUUUAUUUAAUAAUGGAAGAAGUUCAAAAUAAAUAAUUUUUGACGGUCUAUAUGAUAUGUUUUCUUGUUUAACAAUAAGAAACAGUUUAAAUUCAGUAAAUUUUUUUAUGAUUUUUUUUUUUUUUUUUAUCUAGAUCAUAUUCAACAGCUCUUAUGACGGGUUGAAAAAUCUUAACCAUUAUUUUUGUUCAUUUUAUAAUCAUUCGGUUUUUAGAUAUUUUAAAUUAAUGCUCUAAGUCAUAUUUAAUAGUGUUGAUCGUCGAUUCGGUGGCUCCAUCCCUUAAGAGUAUUCUAAUCAAACUCUCUCUCUCUCUCUCUCUCUCGUUAAUCAAAAAAAUUACAUAUCAAAUUAUUCAAAUUUAUUAACAAACUAAAAUAUACAAAAAAAAUUUAUAAAUAUUCAUUUUUGCACUUUACCAUCAUAUUUUUUAAACGCUUCUAUUACGCACCAUCAAAAUUUAAAAUU
This 815-nucleotide long non-coding RNA is filed under the name Ananas comosus (pineapple). RNAcentral's name for it is "long non-coding RNA (ACOM_LNC030916)". Lineage: Eukaryota; Viridiplantae; Streptophyta; Magnoliopsida; Poales; Bromeliaceae. The record is from RNAcentral.